GACGAACGCUGGCGGCGUGCUUAACACAUGCAAGUCGAACGGUGAAGGGGCCUGCUUUUGUGGGUCCUGGAUGAGUGGCGAACGGGUGAGUAACACGUGAGUAACCUGCCCCCUUCUUCUGGAUAACCGCAUGAAAGUGUGGCUAAUACGGGAUAUUCUGGGUCUGUCGCAUGGUGGGCCUGGGAAAGAUUGCGCCUUUUUUGGUGUUUUUGGUGGGGGAUGGGCUCGCGGCCUAUCAGCUUGUUGGUGGGGUGAUGGCCUACCAAGGCGGUGACGGGUAGCCGGCCUGAGAGGGUGGACGGUCACACUGGGACUGAGACACGGCCCAGACUCCUACGGGAGGCAGCAGUGG
Molecule: ribosomal RNA, 352 nt
Filed under: Actinomyces naeslundii
Lineage: Bacteria; Bacillati; Actinomycetota; Actinomycetes; Actinomycetales; Actinomycetaceae
Description: bacterial SSU rRNA
Rfam family: Bacterial small subunit ribosomal RNA
Source: RNAcentral